UAGAGUUUGAUCAUGGCUCAGGAUGAACGCUAGCGGCAGGCUUAACACAUGCAAGUCGAGGGGUAACGGCCCCGAGCAAUCGGGGGCCGACGACCGGCGCACGGGUGAGUAACGCGUAUACGACCUACCUUUUACAGGGGGAUAGCCCGGGGAAACCCGGAUUAAUACCCCAUGGUGCCGCGAUGGUGCAUACCAUCGUGGUCAAAGCUUCGGCGGUAAAAGAUGGGUAUGCGUCCCAUUAGCUUGUAGGUAAGGUAACGGCUUACCUAGGCGAUGAUGGGUAGGGGCCCUGAGAGGGGGGUCCCCCACACUGGUACUGAGACACGGACCAGACUCCUACGGGAGGCAGCAGUGAGGAAUAUUGGACAAUGGGCGGGAGCCUGAUCCAGCCAUGCCGCGUGCAGGAAGACGGCCCUAUGGGUUGUAAACUGCUUUUACAGGGGAAGAAACACCUCCACGUGUGGGGGCUUGACGGUACCCUGCGAAUAAGGAUCGGCUAACUCCGUGCCAGCAGCCGCGGUAAUACGGAGGAUCCAAGCGUUAUCCGGAAUCAUUGGGUUUAAAGGGUCCGUAGGCGGGACGGUCAGUCAGUGGUGAAAGUCUGUGGCUCAACCAUAGAAUUGCCAUUGAAACUGCUGUCCUUGAGUUGUUGUGAAGUGGUUGGAACAUGUAGUGUAGCGGUGAAAUGCAUAGAUAUUACAUAGAACACCUAUUGCGAAGGCAGAUCACUAACAAUAUACUGACGCUGAUGGACGAAAGCGUGGGUAGCGAACAGGAUUAGAUACCCUGGUAGUCCACGCCGUAAACGAUGGUCACUAGCUGUCCGGUGCACAUUGGUGCGCUGGGUGGCCAAGCGAAAGUGAUAAGUGACCCACCUGGGGAGUACGUUCGCAAGAAUGAAACUCAAAGGAAUUGACGGGGGCCCGCACAAG
This 932-nucleotide ribosomal RNA is filed under the name uncultured Salegentibacter sp. RNAcentral describes it as "bacterial SSU rRNA". It matches the Rfam family "Bacterial small subunit ribosomal RNA", at positions 1 to 929 of the family's 1533-position model. The record is from RNAcentral. Lineage: Bacteria; Pseudomonadati; Bacteroidota; Flavobacteriia; Flavobacteriales; Flavobacteriaceae.